AGUGAGUAAUCAUGCCCAUCAAUUCACUAGUGUAGUCAAGACUAAAUGGCACUGGAGAGAAAAAUCACUGGCUUUUGUUGAUUGUCUAUUCAAAAAAGAAACCUCCUGUCAGGAAUAUUUACCACAUUUCUCAGGCCCAGGAAGAGUUGGGAUGCUGUGGGCAGUGUCAUACCUCUUCUUUCUCUGGAUUCACCACUUUACAUGCUAAAUAAAUGGAACUGCAAGUGACAGGGAUUGCUGUUGAGGACCAUCAGAGAAGCAUAAAACACGAACUGAGGUUCAAUUGAAAAUUGUGAGAAAAAAACAGAACUGUUAUCACAUUGCAUCAUCCUGACACCUGUGUAUGUCAUCAGCAAGUCAGCUGUCAGCAUGUUCACUUGAUCUGCUCUCAGAAAUGCCCCUUAGGGCACUUGAAAAAUUGGGGGGUACCUCAACAGAAACCACUUAUGCCAUUGAUGUUACACACAAUGUCCAUGGCAAAGGACAUGAAAGAGACCAGUUCUGUGAUGUGACAUUUGGCAGCUUUGGUCAUGAAAAGUAUCUUAUUUUCUACAAAGAUAUGCCUCUGUCAUAGACAUUUGUUCCACCUCUACAUCAACCACUGACAAUAGGAAUCUCCCC
This is a non-coding RNA of Zonotrichia albicollis (white-throated sparrow), 621 nucleotides long. The record is from RefSeq and is a predicted model, not a curated record. Lineage: Eukaryota; Metazoa; Chordata; Aves; Passeriformes; Passerellidae.